This 253-nucleotide ribosomal RNA is filed under the name uncultured bacterium. RNAcentral's name for it is "partial 16S ribosomal RNA". It matches the Rfam family "Bacterial small subunit ribosomal RNA", at positions 524 to 776 of the family's 1533-position model. The record is from RNAcentral.
UACGUAGGGUGCAAGCGUUGUCCGGAAUUAUUGGGCGUAAAGAGCUCGUAGGCGGUCUGUCACGUCGGCUGUGAAAACCCGCGGCUUAACUGCGGGCUUGCAGUUGAUACGGGCAGGCUAGAGUUCGGUAGGGGAGACUGGAAUUCCUGGUGUAGCGGUGAAAUGCGCAGAUAUCAGGAGGAACACCGGUGGCGAAGGCGGGUCUCUGGGCCGAUACUGACGCUGAGGAGCGAAAGCGUGGGGAGCGAACAGG